AGCGAACGCUGGCGGCAGGCCUAACACAUGCAAGUCGAACGAACUCUUCGGAGUUAGUGGCGGACGGGUGAGUAACACGUGGGAACGUGCCUUUAGGUUCGGAAUAACUCAGGGAAACUUGUGCUAAUACCGAAUGUGCCCUUCGGGGGCAAGAUUUAUCGCCUUUAGAGCGGCCCGCGUCUGAUUAGCUAGUUGGUGAGGUAAAGGCUCACCAAGGCGACGAUCAGUAGCUGGUCUGAGAGGAUGAUCAGCCACAUUGGGACUGAGACACGGCCCAAACUCCUACGGGAGGCAGCAGUGGGGAAUCUUGCGCAAUGGGCGAAAGCCUGACGCAGCCAUGCCGCGUGAAUGAUGAAGGUCUUAGGAUUGUAAAAUUCUUUCACCGGGGACGAUAAUGACGGUACCCGGAGAAGAAGCCCCGGCUAACUUCGUG
Molecule: ribosomal RNA, 433 nt
Filed under: uncultured bacterium
Lineage: Bacteria
Description: partial 16S ribosomal RNA
Rfam family: Bacterial small subunit ribosomal RNA
Source: RNAcentral